Molecule: transfer RNA, 71 nt
Filed under: Nelumbo nucifera (sacred lotus)
Lineage: Eukaryota; Viridiplantae; Streptophyta; Magnoliopsida; Proteales; Nelumbonaceae
Rfam family: tRNA
About the family: Transfer RNA (tRNA) molecules are approximately 80 nucleotides in length.
Source: Rfam by way of RNAcentral
GCACCAAUGGUCUAGUGGUGGAAUAGUACCCUGCCACGGUACAUACCCGGGUUCGAUUUCCGGGUGGUGCA